UGUGCCAGCAGCCGCGGUAAUACGUAGGGCGCAAGCGUUAUCCGGAUUUAUUGGGCGUAAAGGGCUCGUAGGCGGCUCGUCGCGUCCGGUGUGAAAGUCCAUCGCUUAACGGUGGAUCUGCGCCGGGUACGGGCGGGCUGGAGUGCGGUAGGGGAGACUGGAAUUCCCGGUGUGACGGUGGAAUGUGUAGAUAUCGGGAAGAACACCGAUGGCGAAGGCAGGUCUCUGGGCCGUCACUGACGCUGAGGAGCGAAAGCGUGGGGAGCG
Molecule: ribosomal RNA, 267 nt
Filed under: uncultured Bifidobacteriales bacterium
Lineage: Bacteria; Bacillati; Actinomycetota; Actinomycetes; Bifidobacteriales
Description: partial 16S ribosomal RNA
Rfam family: Bacterial small subunit ribosomal RNA
Source: RNAcentral